Molecule: ribosomal RNA, 197 nt
Filed under: uncultured Bacillus sp.
Lineage: Bacteria; Bacillati; Bacillota; Bacilli; Caryophanales; Bacillaceae
Description: partial 16S ribosomal RNA
Rfam family: Bacterial small subunit ribosomal RNA
Source: RNAcentral
ACUCCUACGGGAGGCAGCAGUAGGGAAUCUUCCGCAAUGGACAAAAGUUUGACGGAGCAACGCCGCGUGAGUGAACAAGGUUUUAGGAUCGUAAAGCUAUGUUGUCAGGGUCAGCACAAGUACGUGAGUAACUCUCCGUCCUAGACGGUACCUGACCAGAAAGCCACGGCUAACUACGUGCCAGCAGCCGCGGUAAU